UAUUUAAAAAAAUAUUUUGUGUUUGUUUAUAUUUUGUGUUGACGUGUAUAUGGAGGGAAAACAACUGUUGCUCUGCUUAAUUCUGCAGCACAGGUGUACACUUCUACCAGCGAUCAGUGCCCAGGGUUAACUUAGAGUGGAGUUCUACACUUCUCAACAAAUAAAAGCUCUAUUCUGAUAUAAAGUGUCGUAACUGAACUAUGAAGAUUUCUCCGUAACAGGGUGUCACCCAGCCUGUGACCACAAGAGCAGAGCCUUCUUUCAUCUACACAUCUCUCCGUCUGAAAAGAGAAAUGGACAAGUUCAGUGUGCACAAUAACCAGGUUGUUCAUGUGACGGAAGCCAUAGCUGAAAAGAUUUACCAUAUGGUUCAGUACCUGAGGAAGAAAGGACCUAUACAGGGGAAGGAGGCUUUUGUCAGCACAGCAAAGGACGUGAUCUCAAGCUGUCAACGGGUCACUCAGUUUAUUGGAUUUGUUACUGAACACUGCCUGGACCAGCAGUGCACGGAUGAGCUCCUCCGUAUCACGGAAUGCAUUUACACCACCACCAAGCAGCUCACCAUCAUCUCCAGGUGAGACAGUAGCACAACCAGAAUUGGCUUGGCCUGCAAAGUACAUGUCACAAUGACGGAAAAAACUAAUUUCUGCUAUGAUCCUAAACCCCAUGUUUUGUUCCCAGUGAUUCAUAUAGGAGUUAUUCAUAUUUAAGAACAUUUUAAGUAUUAUCCUUUUUCAGUAAUUCUCACAAUAUAUUCUCAGUCUCUUUGUUGUAACCUCAGCGCUUCUGGCUGUGGCUCCAUCUCGGUGGAGAAGCAUUUAGGUCAUGGAAACAGCAGCAUGUUUGUUUUGACUGGCUCAGGAUGUGCUGAACUUAGAUCCCUGCCGCACCCCCCCUGUAUUUCAAUGCCGGGAAGAGAAGCAGCCCUCUGGGUGCGUGUCAGUCCCAUCAGGCUCUCGCUGGCACUUGUCCUGGCAGUCAGUGCCUCCUCCUAACUAUCCUUCUGACUUCGUGUUCUCCACAAAGAGAUGUCUGCUUUGGAUGGGCACCAUGCUGGCGCAAGCACCAAUCACAGCAGCCAUGUUGAAAAUCUUUUAUCCCAAC
This 1104-nucleotide long non-coding RNA is filed under the name Scleropages formosus (Asian bonytongue). Its description in RNAcentral is "lncRNA (ENSSFOG00015026464.1)". The record is from RNAcentral. Lineage: Eukaryota; Metazoa; Chordata; Actinopteri; Osteoglossiformes; Osteoglossidae.